Molecule: ribosomal RNA, 376 nt
Filed under: uncultured bacterium
Lineage: Bacteria
Description: bacterial SSU rRNA
Rfam family: Bacterial small subunit ribosomal RNA
Source: RNAcentral
GACAGAGGAGGCGAGCGUUGUUCGGAAUCACUGGGCUUAAAGCGCGUGUAGGCGGCCUGGUAAGUGUCGUGUGAAAUCCCAUGGCUCAACCAUGGAACUGCACGGCAAACUGCCUGGCUUGAGGUCGGUAGAGGUGCCUGGAACUCUAGGUGGAGCGGUGAAAUGCGUAGAUAUCUAGAGGAACGCCAGAAGCGAAAGCGGGGCACUGGGCCGAUUCUGACGCUGAGACGCGAAAGCGUGGGGAGCAAACAGGAUUAGAUACCCUGGUAGUCCACGCCGUAAACGAUGCACACUAGACGUUGGGGCCUCUGACGGAACCGGCGUCGUAGCAAAAGUGCUAAGUGUGCCGCCUGGGGAGUACGGCCGCAAGGCUAAA